Molecule: long non-coding RNA, 3183 nt
Filed under: Papio anubis (olive baboon)
Lineage: Eukaryota; Metazoa; Chordata; Mammalia; Primates; Cercopithecidae
Description: lncRNA (ENSPANG00000039007.1)
Source: RNAcentral
GCUAGGUGAAGAGAGAAGAUGACUAGGUCUACGGAGGCCCCUGGGUGGGAAAAGUUUCCUGCUAGAGGGGGGUAUACUGUUCAACCUGUUCCAGCACCGGCUUCUACUGCGGUUGAUGCUAUUAGUAGUAGGAAAGAAGGGGGAAGGAGUCAGAAACUUAUGUUGUUUAAACGGGGGAAUGCUAUAUCAGGAGCGCCAAUUAUUAGAGGCACUAAUCAAUUUCCGAAGCCCCCGAUUAUAAUAGGUAUAACCAUGAAAAAGAUUAUGACGAACGCAUGGGCCGUUUUUCCUAAUGUCUAAAGAGCUGUCCCUCUUUAGACUAACAAUUAAGUUUACAGGGGGAUUAGGUUGUUCUGCAGGUAAACUUAAGGUUGAACUAAGAUUCUAUCUUGGAUAACCAGCUAUCACCAGGCUCGAUAGGCUUGUCACCUCUACCCAGAAAUCUUCCCACUAUUUUGCCACAUAGACGGGUGCGCUCUUUUAGCUGUUUUGGGGUAGCUCGUCUGGUUUCGGGAAAUUUGGCUUUAGUUCUCUUUGUGAAAUUGUCUCUAGCUAAUUCAUUAUGCAAAAGGUACAGGGGUUAGUCCUUGCUACUUUGUGCUUGGGUGGUUUUCUAUCUUUCCCUUACGGUACUGUAUCUAUAGCGCCAGGUUAAAAUUUCUAUCGCCUAUACUUUGCACGGGUCAAUGGUUUGGUGUAUAUGUGAGUUUGAUAUUAGUGUUGGUUAUGCUUGGGGCUAGUGUUAGCUCAAGGUCAUCAAGCAACGUUGAGAUCUUCUGAGUGUAAGUCAGAUGCUUUAUGUUAAGCUAUACCUUGAUUUGUCCAAGUGCACCUUCCAGUACACUUACCGUGUUACGACUUAUCCCCUCUAUAUAAAUGUUAGGGCAUUUAGUUAAGUUAUUCCUUAAAUAUAUUUGAGGGGAGUGACGGGCGGUGUGUGCGUGCUUUAUGGCCUAGUUCAAUUAAGCACUCUAUUCUUAAUUUACUGCUAAAUCCUCCUUGGGCUCCUAGAUUUCAUAAGAGCUAUCGUGGGGUUUUCUGAAGUAGAAAAUGUAGCCCAUUUUUACCGUCUCAUAAGUUACACCUUGACCUAACGUUUUUGCGGGGGAGGGCAUUUGCGCUCACUUCGUAGCCUUCAUCAGGGUUUGCUGAAGAUGGCGGUAUAUAGACUAAGCAAGAGAGGGUGGGGUGGAUCGGGGUUUAUCGAUUACAGAACAGGCUCCUCUAGGGGGAUAUGAAGCACCGCCAAGUCCUUUGAGUUUUAAGCUGUUGCUUGUAGUAUUCUGGCGAGUAGUUUUGUUGUUUUAACUAUUGAGGUUUAAGGCCAAGCAUAGUGGGGUGUCUAAUCCCAGUUUGGGUCUUGGCUGUUGUGUAUUCAGAAAUUAUAAAGCCACUUUCGUAGUUUAUUUUACGUUAGCUAGAGUUUUACAGUUUAGAUGGGGUUUAGCUUUAUUAGAUUAGAUCUAAAACACCCUCUACGCCGGUUUCUAUUGGCUAGGGUUAAUCGUGUAACCGCGGUGGCUGGCACGAAAUUGACCAACCCCUAAGAUAGCAUAGCUUAGUUAAACUUUCGUUCAUUGCUAAAGAUUUGUCACUGCUGUCUCCCGUGGGGGUGUGGCUAGGCAAAGUGUUUUGAGCUGCAUGGGCGUGCUUGAUACUUGCUCCUCUUGGUCAUGUUGAUUGGGGGGGCGUCUUCACCGGAGCGGGGAUGCUUGCAUAUGUAAUCUUGCUAAGAGUCAAUAGAAAGGCCAGGACCAAGCCUAUGUGUCUAUGGGGUGUGCGAACCCAUCUAGGCAUUUUCAGUGUCUUGCUUUAGGUGGGUUUAAGCUACAUAAACGUCAGUGUGAGUGUGAUUGCGGGGCAAUUUCUUUUGGGUUGUGAGAGGGAGGGAGUGAAUUUGGUGGGGAAAAAAGUUGGUGUCAAGAGUGUUUGGUGAAGUAAAUUUAUAUUAGUUGAGGAAGUGGCAGUUGGAGUUGUGCACACCCAAAAGAUGAAAAUGCGAGCUCUGGUUGGGCAAGUUAAGGCUCUUGUUUUUGGGGUUUGGCAAGAGUGGGUUCAGGUAAAGGCCAGAGACGGGGGUGGGGGGGUUUGAAUGGAGCUUUAUUUUUGCUGUGGUUUGCGGCGUGGUGAGGGGGUUGCGGAGUUGGUUAUUAUUAUGUCUUACAAGCAUGAAUUAAAUAGCACCUUGGUAACUUCGCGGGGGACUGGAAUAUUGAACGUAGGUGCGAUGAAUGAUAAUAUGUACUAGGAAUCAAAGACAGGCGCAUUCAGGACGAGAUGGGGUGGGAGUCAGCAUUCUGCGAUGGGGUUGCGUGCGGACCAGAGAUAAAAGAUACCAAAUGCAUGGAGAGCUCCCGUGACUGGUUAAUAGGGUGAUAGACCCGUGAUCCAUCGAGAUGUCUUAUUUAAGGGAGCCCUCAUUUUUAAAUGCACUUGUUAAAGUACAGUGCUGUUCAUUCUGAAUGUUCCACUGUAAUUUUAAAUUAUUUUCUUUAGUAAGAUUAUGCCAUUUUUGUAAGUAUUCUUUGCUUCUGAGGCCUAAUAACUGUACACCUAAAGGUAGGCUUAGCUGGAAGGUGGAGCACUCAGUUCUUCAGAAAUUCUGGAUCCCAUUUUUAUGCUGAACCUUGGCACUGGUUCUGAGAUCCCCUUGAUCAACAUUGUCAGUGAUUUUUCUCUAGCUAGACUUGCAAGUGGAAAAAAAAAAAAAAAAAACAAAGAGAAUAGAACACAAAAUUCCCGCAAAUUUGCAAAAGUAGAGUUCGUACCCUCUGCAGUGAUUGCCGUUGACUGCCUGUUUCUGCCUGGUCUGGUCAGACAUUUGAGGCCUUUAACGGGAUCCAAUCUAGUAAGUUAUUGUAUCUGAUCCAAUCCUGGACCCAUUCCAGUUUUUAUGCCAACUUCUGAACUCAAUUUAGAUCAAAAAUUUGCCUAAACAAACUCAGCUCAAAACACAGGUCCAUGAAACUUCAGAAUCGGAGAAAUAACUUACCCAUGAUCCCCAGUCGCUGCAAGUGACCAAUGGACACGAUGACCCUGGAAGGUGUCUCGCUUGGUCAGUCAGUGCUCCUGAGGUCCCCUGAAGCUCUACUUUGAAUCCCACUUCUGAUGCCAUCUGUUAAAUGAAAAACUCUAGACAAAUUAACUUUGAUUUGAUCAAAAACCAAUUCCAGAAUGGGGCAG